UUAAUUUAAGUUAAUUACCUUCUAAUAACCUAAAUAAAUUAGAUUCAUUGAUCUCCAAUUAUUGAUUGCCUAGGGUUUUGGAUCAAAUGCAUUAGGAGUUCAAACCCUUAAAUAUUUCCUUGAUUGUUUUGCAUGGGACACCACUUGAUUUGAUCAAGUUGGGCGUGCCCAAUUGAUAGAUGGUGUGUAGAACUAGCAAGGGGCAUCCUAUAACCCCUAUGUGGUAUGUGAG
This 232-nucleotide long non-coding RNA is filed under the name Elaeis guineensis (African oil palm). RNAcentral's name for it is "long non-coding RNA (EGUI_LNC075917)". The record is from RNAcentral. Lineage: Eukaryota; Viridiplantae; Streptophyta; Magnoliopsida; Arecales; Arecaceae.